GAUGAACGCUGGCGGCGUGCCUAAUACAUGCAAGUCGAGCGAGCAGACGAGGAGCUUGCUCCUCUGACGUUAGCGGCGGACGGGUGAGUAACACGUGGAUAACCUACCUAUAAGACUGGGAUAACUUCGGGAAACCGGAGCUAAUACCGGAUAAUAUAUUGAACCGCAUGGUUCAAUAGUGAAAGACGGUUUUGCUGUCACUUAUAGAUGGAUCCGCGCCGCAUUAGCUAGUUGGUAAGGUAACGGCUUACCAAGGCAACGAUGCGUAGCCGACCUGAGAGGGUGAUCGGCCACACUGGAACUGAGACACGGUCCAGACUCCUACGGGAGGCAGCAGUAGGGAAUCUUCCGCAAUGGGCGAAAGCCUGACGGAGCAACGCCGCGUGAGUGAUGAAGGUCUUCGGAUCGUAAAACUCUGUUAUUAGGGAAGAACAAAUGUGUAAGUAACUGUGCACGUCUUGACGGUACCUAAUCAGAAAGCCACGGCUAACUACGUG
Molecule: ribosomal RNA, 497 nt
Filed under: uncultured bacterium
Lineage: Bacteria
Description: partial 16S ribosomal RNA
Rfam family: Bacterial small subunit ribosomal RNA
Source: RNAcentral